UACGAAGGGGGCUAGCGUUGCUCGGAAUUACUGGGCGUAAAGGGCGCGUAGGCGGCACUGUUAGUCAGGCGUGAAAGUCCUGGGCUCAACCUGGGAACUGCGCUUGAUACGGCAGAGCUAGAGGAUGGAAGAGGCUCGCGGAAUUCCCAGUGUAUAGGUGAAAUUCGUAGAUAUUGGGAGGAACACCUAUGGCGAAGGCAGCUCGCUGGGACGUUACUGACGCUGAGACGCGAAAGCGUGGGGAGCAAACAGG
RNAcentral lists this ribosomal RNA (253 nucleotides) under uncultured bacterium. RNAcentral's name for it is "partial 16S ribosomal RNA". It matches the Rfam family "Bacterial small subunit ribosomal RNA", at positions 524 to 776 of the family's 1533-position model. The record is from RNAcentral.